CAGCCGCCACGGGAAUACGGAGGGGGCUAGCGUUGUUCGGAAUUACUGGGCGUAAAGCGCACGUAGGCGGCUUGGUAAGUUAGAGGUGAAAGCCUGGAGCUCAACUCCAGAAUUGCCUUUAAGACUGCCGAGCUAGCAGGUGAGAGAGGUAAGUGGAAUUCCGAGUGUAGAGGUGAAAUUCGUAGAUAUUCGGAAGAACACCAGUGGCGAAGGCGGCUUACUGGCUCAUACUGGACGCUGAGGUGCGAAAGCGUGGGGAGCAAACAGGAUUAGAUACCCCCGUAGUCCCUGUCUCUUAUAA
Molecule: ribosomal RNA, 301 nt
Filed under: uncultured bacterium
Lineage: Bacteria
Description: partial 16S ribosomal RNA
Rfam family: Bacterial small subunit ribosomal RNA
Source: RNAcentral